ACCCGGCUAUCUCAGUCGGUAGAGCUCGAAAUUCCUUAUCUCGGGGUCAUGGGUUCAUGCCCCACGUUAGGCA
This is a non-coding RNA of Trichonephila clavipes, 73 nucleotides long. NCBI's taxonomy places the organism in Eukaryota, Metazoa, Arthropoda, Arachnida, Araneae, Nephilidae. The record is from the annotation of a GenBank genome assembly.